Molecule: ribosomal RNA, 484 nt
Filed under: uncultured bacterium
Lineage: Bacteria
Description: partial 16S ribosomal RNA
Rfam family: Bacterial small subunit ribosomal RNA
Source: RNAcentral
AUUGAACGCUGGCGGCAUGCUUUACACAUGCAAGUCGAACGGCAGCGCGGGCUUCGGCCUGGCGGCGAGUGGCGAACGGGUGGGUAAUACAUCGGGACGUGCCCAGUAGUGGGGGAUAGCUCGGCGAAAGCCGGAUUAAUACCGCAUACGACCUGAGGGUGAAAGCGGGGGAUCUUCGGACCUCGCGCUAUUGGAGCGGCCGAUGGCAGAUUAGCUAGUUGGUGGGGUAAAGGCCUACCAAGGCGACGAUCUGUAGCUGGUCUGAGAGGACGACCAGCCACACUGGGACUGAGACACGGCCCAGACUCCUACGGGAGGCAGCAGUGGGGAAUUUUGGACAAUGGGCGAAAGCCUGAUCCAGCAAUGCCGCGUGUGUGAUGAAGGCCUUCGGGUUGUAAAGCACUUUUGGCGGGAACGAAAAGGACUGUGCCAAUACCACGGUUCGAUGACGGUACCCGCAGAAUAAGCACCGGCUAACUACGUG